Molecule: ribosomal RNA, 440 nt
Filed under: uncultured bacterium
Lineage: Bacteria
Description: partial 16S ribosomal RNA
Rfam family: Bacterial small subunit ribosomal RNA
Source: RNAcentral
CCUACGGGUGGCAGCAGUGGGGGAUAUUGCACAAUGGGGGGAACCCUGAUGCAGCGACGCCGCGUGUGGGAAGACGGUCCUCUGGAUUGUAAACUACUGUUCCCAGGGACGAAAAUGACGGUACCUGGGGAGGAAGCUCCGGCUAACUACGUGCCAGCAGCCGCGGUAAUACGUAGGGGGCGAGCGUUGUCCGGAAUUACUGGGUGUAAAGGGAGCGUAGGCGGGGAUGCAAGUUGGGUGUAAAAACUACCGGCUCAACUGGUAGUCGAACUCAAAACCGGAGCUCUUGAGUGAAGUAGAGGCAGGCGGAAUUCGUAGUGUAGCGGUGAAAUGCGUAGAUAUUGGGAGGAACACCGGUGGCGAAGGCGGCAUGCUGGGCUUUUACUGACGCUGAGGCUCGAAAGUGUGGGGAGCAAACAGGAUUAGAUACCCCGGUAGUC